CAAACGACUAUUGGCAACGAAUAUCUCGGCUCUCACAUUGAUGAAUAAUGUAGCAAAAUGCAAUACUUGGUGUGAAUUACAGAAUCCCGUGAACCAUCGAGUCUUUGAACGCAAGUUGUGCCCGAAGACAUCAGGCCAAAGGCACGUCUGCCUAGGCAUUAUGC
RNAcentral lists this ribosomal RNA (164 nucleotides) under Haldina cordifolia. RNAcentral's name for it is "5.8S ribosomal RNA". It matches the Rfam family "5.8S ribosomal RNA". Rfam says of the family: 5.8S ribosomal RNA (5.8S rRNA) is a component of the large subunit of the eukaryotic ribosome. It is transcribed by RNA polymerase I as part of the 45S precursor that also contains 18S and 28S rRNA. Functionally, it is thought that 5.8S rRNA may be involved in ribosome translocation. Lineage: Eukaryota; Viridiplantae; Streptophyta; Magnoliopsida; Gentianales; Rubiaceae. The record is from RNAcentral.